RNAcentral lists this long non-coding RNA (234 nucleotides) under Ananas comosus (pineapple). RNAcentral's name for it is "long non-coding RNA (ACOM_LNC005625)". Lineage: Eukaryota; Viridiplantae; Streptophyta; Magnoliopsida; Poales; Bromeliaceae. The record is from RNAcentral.
UGAGUAUGAUCCAAUUCUUAACUAUAAGGAUGUCAAGUUCAAUCCAUUCCUUAACUAUAAGGAAACAAUGCACAUAUGACCCUUAACUCUAAGGUUGUUAUGUCAUGAUGCCACAAUCCCUCUUUUUCUUGCAUUCUUUGCUUUCACUAGUGUCAUAUACACUACCUUGUUCUUGUACUCAUUCACUAAUGCCACACUUAUUUUCUAAGUGUUUAACUCUAACACUCUUGACUC